UAUUUAAAACGACGCAGAUUAACUGCAAUUUAGUUUGGGUGAGACGACAAUUGACUAUGGACAGUUUGCCACAGCCACAGCAACAGCAACCACACGCAACUGGACUGACUGAACCGCUAGCCAAAGCACGAACAUUAGUUAGCCGACCUCCCGCAGAACUCGUGCCGCCAGAUCAAGCUGCCGUGUAAGCGUGAAGGAAGGUCUCACCGGGAAGCGGCUCCUCCUAUCAUCCCUUCUCACCUACCGCCCGGUAUCAAACCACACCGGAGCCCCGCGAGCAGCGACCGUUUACCCGCACGGCAACCGCCGCCGGAACUGACGUCACCGGAGGGCUCUCGUCGGUGAGGGGGACCCUAGGCGUCGACAAGAAGGAGCAGAGGAGGGGGAAAUCGUCAGGGAGGACAAACAGAAGCUUGGAAUGGGCAAGUGAGAAGGUAUUGACCAGGUCUCACUGUAUUUGGACAUGGACUGCCUUACAGAAAUCAAAAAAUGGUGCUGAACAUUGCUGAUGACUGCACAAACAUCCCCAUUUCUGAAUUUAUAAUGGAGCGGAUUGUCGCAGUUUUACCUCUUCCUUUCCUAAGUAAUGGCCACACAGAUUGCAAUGCUCUUGGAGACGCUAUAGUUACCUACUCUGAGAAGGCGUGCCCAGCUUCCGAUGUGUCACACGAGCCACUCCUCAUGGUCAGAAACCAGAAGCUAAUUUAAAGCAACUCCGGAGCAUGUGCAGCACGGAAAAGUGGAGCAUUUUGGAGUUUUUACAUGGCACAGAAAUGAGAAACGAUGGUUCUUAACUAGUGUCAUUUCGUUCGAAAACCUAAAGAAUUAAACUUUAAAUAUUUAUGUUCUUUGUAGUUUAUGCCUACAUAAUAUUUAAUUCUUGAUGCAGUAAAAAAUCUGUUUGGAUCUUAAGAUCCUAGUUGAUGAAAAUACCAGAUAAUUCAGAAUGAAAUCUGGCUGUAUGUUUUAUUUUAGCAAUGUGAUUAUGAUAGUUGUCACUUAAAACAGUAACAUGUCUUUUCAACAAAAUAACAAAAAUUAUUACACGUGAAAGGGGGGGGGGGAAGAAAGAACCACACACAAUAACUGGUUGAAAUAGAUUUAUUACACCUGUCAAAAAUAAGGAUUAAACCUUUCUACCUCAAUAAUUGAAGGGGUUAUGAGUUUAAUAACACAAAUAAAGAUACCUAAGAUGCACUUUUUAUAUUCAGGUUAACUUCUGACAUUAAUCCCUUGUGAUUAUACUAAAUGAAUAUUUUGACUAGCCCACCCAUAAGUAUUGAUUACUAAUAAUGGAUUUUUAAAUAUUAGUAAAUUUUCUCUGGAAAAAAAACUAAGUGGCAGAGAAAU
This is a long non-coding RNA of Stegostoma tigrinum, 1350 nucleotides long. RefSeq lists it as uncharacterized. The transcript is spliced from 3 exons. Lineage: Eukaryota; Metazoa; Chordata; Chondrichthyes; Orectolobiformes; Stegostomatidae. The record is from RefSeq and is a predicted model, not a curated record.